RNAcentral lists this long non-coding RNA (726 nucleotides) under Cricetulus griseus (Chinese hamster). RNAcentral describes it as "lncRNA (ENSCGRG00000026661.1)". The record is from RNAcentral. Lineage: Eukaryota; Metazoa; Chordata; Mammalia; Rodentia; Cricetidae.
GCCAUCUUCUUUUAGGGCAGCCUGAAGCCACAGCGCUAAUACGUCAGUUAAGGGAAAGAGUAACAGUAUAUGACAGCUAGGUGGCCGCUUCUGGAACCCAGCAUGUCCGGCUUCCAUCCGUAUAAACCCAGGCAACUGGAGUCACAGCUGCAGAAAACGCUAAAGCGAUUGUCUUCCUGCCCUUCUGUAUUUGGAGCCCUUUCCAAGGCCGUCCUUGACUCUCCUGCCUCACCCACUCGAGUGCUACAGUCACUGGAAUAUGCGACUAAAGAAGCACAACACCUACACUUCUUAUUGGGCUUUGAAAUUGUAGCCCCAACGCCCACAGCCUGGGGGUGGGCGGAGCCUUGUCCUCGGGAAAACUCGGCGGUGGGAGGGGUCUCCUCUCGAAGAGCUUCCGGAACCUUUCGGGCAGAGGCGGAGUCUUCUGCCGAGGGCCCUUCGGAAAGAGGCGGAGCUUAUCUCGCAUCAGGACCAGUCCGACUGCACCUGCAUCCUUAGCUCAGAGCAUCCCAGGAGCAUCUAAGAGGAAAGCGCAGCUAGCAACCAGGGAUCCGACUGUCGCAGGGGCAGUCUGCCAGGCACCUUCCCCUCCCCUGAUCCGGAGGUCUACAGCCGCGGCCUCGGUACUCACCGAGAUUCCCAAAGUUGUCUGACCUCUGCAAAAGUGUUGCUACCAACAGCCUCUGAUUACAACAUGGCUGAGAUCACAAAUAUACGCCCCAG